UACGGGGGGGGCAAGCGUUGUUCGGAAUUACUGGGCGUAAAGGGCUCGUAGGUGGCCAAUUAAGUCAGACGUGAAAUCCCCAGGCUUAACCUGGGAACUGCGUCUGAUACUGGUUGGCUUGAAUUCGGGAGAGGGAUGCAGAAUUCCAGGCGUAGCGGUGAAAUGCGUAGAUAUCUGGAGGAAUACCGGUGGCGAAGGCGGCAUCCUGGACCGAGAUUGACACUGAGGAGCGAAAGCCAGGGGAGCAAACGGG
RNAcentral lists this ribosomal RNA (253 nucleotides) under uncultured bacterium. RNAcentral's name for it is "partial 16S ribosomal RNA". It matches the Rfam family "Bacterial small subunit ribosomal RNA", at positions 524 to 776 of the family's 1533-position model. The record is from RNAcentral.